RNAcentral lists this ribosomal RNA (465 nucleotides) under uncultured archaeon. RNAcentral's name for it is "bacterial SSU rRNA". It matches the Rfam family "Archaeal small subunit ribosomal RNA", at positions 4 to 474 of the family's 1478-position model. The record is from RNAcentral.
CUGGUUGAUCCCGCCGGACCUGACUGCUAUCGGAUUGAUACUAAGCCAUGCGAGUCUUUGCAGUAAUGCAAGGCGGACUGCUCAGUAACACGUAGUCAACUUAACCUAUGGAUGGGUAUAACCUCGGGAAACUGAGAAUAAUUCCCAAUAGAUCAUUUAUCCUGGAAUGGUUAGUGAUUGAAAUGAUUCGUCGCCAUAGGAUAGGACUGCGGCCUAUCAGCUUGUUGGUGAGGUAAAGGCCCACCAAGGCUAUUACAGGUACGGGCUCUGGGAGAAGAAGCCCGGAGAUGGGUACUGAGACACGGACCCAGGCCCUAUGGGGCGCAGCAGGCGAGAAAACUUUGCAAUGUGCGAAAGCACGACAAGGUUAAUCCGAGUGAUUUCUGCUAAAGAAAUCUUUUGCCAGUUCUAAAAAUACUGGUGAAUAAGGGGUGGGCAAGUUCUGGUGCCAGCAGCCGCAGUAAU